RNAcentral lists this ribosomal RNA (255 nucleotides) under uncultured bacterium. Its description in RNAcentral is "partial 16S ribosomal RNA". It matches the Rfam family "Bacterial small subunit ribosomal RNA", at positions 524 to 776 of the family's 1533-position model. The record is from RNAcentral.
UACGUAGGGGGCAAGCGUUGUCCGGAAUCAUUGGGCGUAAAGAGCUCGUAGGCGGUUCGGCAAGUCAGCUGUGAAAUCUCCACGCUCAACGUGGAGGGGUCAGCUGAUACUGCUGUGACUUGAGUCCGGUAGGGGAGUGUGGAAUUCCCGGUGUAGCGGUGAAAUGCGCAGAUAUCAGGAGGAACACCGGUGGCGAAGGCGGUUCUCUGGGCCGAAACUGACGCUGGAGGAGCGAAAGCGUGGGGAGCAAACAGG